AACUCGCGGAGGUGGCGAAAGCCAUCGGUCCCGGCAAGCCGAUCAAGCUGGUCUGGACCCGCGAAGACGAUAUGCGCGGCGGAUAUUAUCGUCCGUUCAGCGUGCAUCGCAUGCGCGGCGUGGUGCGCGAUGGGAAGAUCCAGGCAUGGAGCGACACCAUCGUCGGCCAGUCCAUUAUGAAGGGAUCGCCGUUCGAGGCGAUGACCUUCAAGGAUGGCCUCGACUCGACGGCCUAUGAA
RNAcentral lists this unclassified non-coding RNA (239 nucleotides) under Hevea brasiliensis (rubber tree). The record is from RNAcentral. Lineage: Eukaryota; Viridiplantae; Streptophyta; Magnoliopsida; Malpighiales; Euphorbiaceae.